AUGAUUGGUCUGAUGAUGUUUUUUCAGACGGUGACGAGGUGACAACCUGGUUGAUAGCGGACAGAGACAGAGAGGCUCAGAUCGUGAACCGGCGUGGGGGCGGUCCUCGGGGGAAGCGGGUGGCGAACCGUUACUAUACCGACAAGAACGUCACCUGCCACAGCUGUAAGAGGACUGGACACCUCUCCAAGAGCUGCCCUACGCCCCCGGAGCCGUGUUGCUUGUUGUGCGGGGAGCGUGGUCACACGAUGCUGUCGUGUCCCAGCAAACAUUGCAGGAACUGCGGUCUGCCCGGUCACUUGGACGAGGUGUGUGUCGUACCCAGCCUCCGAUACAGAUGGUGUUAUCGCUGUGGCGUACAGGGACACCUUAACGACGCCUGCCCAGAGAUAUGGAGACAGUACCACAUCACGGUAAGACUGUGUGUGUGUGUGUGUGUGUGUGUGUGUGUGUGUGUGUGUGUGUGUGUGUGUGUGUGUGUGUGU
Molecule: long non-coding RNA, 485 nt
Organism: Oncorhynchus keta (chum salmon)
Lineage: Eukaryota; Metazoa; Chordata; Actinopteri; Salmoniformes; Salmonidae
Exons: 4
Source: RefSeq, a predicted model, not a curated record